AUUGAACGCUGGCGGCAUGCCUUACACAUGCAAGUCGAACGGUAACAGGGAGCUUGCUCCGCUGACGAGUGGCGAACGGGUGAGUAAUGUAUCGGAACGUACCUUUCAGUGGAGGAUAACGUAGCGAAAGUUACGCUAAUACCGCAUAUUCUGUGAGCAGGAAAGCUGGGGAUCGCAAGACCUUGCGCUGAUUGAGCGGCCGAUAUCAGAUUAGCUAGUUGGUGAGGUAAAGGCUCACCAAGGCGACGAUCUGCAGCGGGUCUGAGAGGAUGAUCCGCCACACUGGAACUGAGACACGGUCCAGACUCCUACGGGAGGCAGCAGUGGGGAAUUUUGGACAAUGGGGGCAACCCUGAUCCAGCCAUGCCGCGUGAGUGAAGAAGGCCUUCGGGUUGUAAAGCUCUUUCGGCCGGGAAGAAAUCGCAUGGGUUAAUACCCUGUGCGGAUGACGGUACCGGCAUAAGAAGCACCGGCUAACUACGUGCCAGCAGCCGCGGUAAUACGUAGGGUGCGAGCGUUAAUCGGAAUUACUGGGCGUAAAGCGUGCGCAGGCGGUUUUGUAAGACAGGCGUGAAAUCCCCGGGCUCAACCUGGGAACUGCGCUUGUGACUGCAAGGCUAGAGUAUGGCAGAGGGGGGUGGAAUUCCACGUGUAGCAGUGAAAUGCGUAGAGAUGUGGAGGAACACCAAUGGCGAAGGCAGCCCCCUGGGCCAAUACUGACGCUCAUGCACGAAAGCGUGGGUAGCAAACAGGAUUAGAUACCCUGGUAGUCCACGCCCUAAACG
RNAcentral lists this ribosomal RNA (785 nucleotides) under uncultured bacterium. Its description in RNAcentral is "bacterial SSU rRNA". It matches the Rfam family "Bacterial small subunit ribosomal RNA", at positions 28 to 808 of the family's 1533-position model. The record is from RNAcentral.